This is a long non-coding RNA of Cucumis sativus (cucumber), 4624 nucleotides long. RefSeq lists it as uncharacterized. The record is from RefSeq and is a predicted model, not a curated record. The transcript is spliced from 2 exons. Lineage: Eukaryota; Viridiplantae; Streptophyta; Magnoliopsida; Cucurbitales; Cucurbitaceae.
UAAUUUUUCCUUUAUUUUAUAUUUAAUUGAGGUUUUAACCAAGUAAUUCAACCCCAUUAACCAAGAGGUUAAAGCUUCGUCCUCCCGCGAAUACGAAACCAUUCCCUUUGGUAUCUCGAAAUUCCCCAUGCCUCCUUCCAAGUUUAGUGCCACUGCUCCUCUUCUAAGCCAAAAAAAACUCAACUGAAAUCUCAUCUCUGCGAGUUCCUCAGCAUUCCUCUCGUCCCUCCCCCCCGCCGAUCUUCACAUCCCCAUUUCCAGGUUCCUCAUGUCUCUCUCAUGAUUUUGUGAAAAAAACAAAUUUAAAGCUAUUUCAGGGACGGUUUCCAUUUCUUCAAGUUUUCGAGCUGAGGUUAUAAUGUAGUGUGAGUAAAUUAGAUUCAAUUUUUGAGUUUUUAAGACUAGUUUCUACCUUCUGCUUUCGGUUCUUUUUUAGUAUACUCUUUUUCUCCUACUGAUGAGUAAAUAUCACUGCUGUUAUUGCUUGUUUUGAAACUUGCCUUUGAUCAUGUAAUCUGUUUUCUUCAUGUUAUUGUAUCACCACUUUGAUAAGUUAUAUUCUACUUCGUUUUUAUUGUUGUCUUAUCUACUGCUCUCUUUUAGCUAUAUUGCCUUGAUGUAAAUCUUUAUUCACGUGUUAUAUUGUCUUAUCAGAUUAAUUAAAUUAAGAUUCUUUUGCUAAUAAGGGAUCGGUUCGCUUUAUUCCUGUUCCCACUACCUUAAUAUUUGUUGUAUCAUACUGCUUUAAGAUGCGACAAUUGAGGAGAUUUAUUUAUAUCUCCUAUCUUAGUGAAUGAGGAUCAAGUGGAGAGGGACAAGUUGGUUGAGAGUGAUCGGGAAGAUGGUGAUAUUCCAAUUUUAAUGUUGAACGAUGUUGUGGGACAACUUUUAAGCCUUUAAGAUUAAUGGUUAGUGGAAGAUGGUUGUUGUAUUGUACUUCAGAAAGGAAAGGGAGAAUGUGAUUGCAUUUGCACUGCAGAAAUUAACAAAUGCCUAUUGGAGAAAUAAAAAUGCUUUAUUAACUUAGUGGUUAGUUUGUUUGUACAGAUGAGUUUCUGUGUAUUUGGAUUACUGAAAAAUAAAGAAAGUAUCACUCAAGGAUGAGAGGUGCAGACAGAUAGAAGAAGAGAGAAGUUUAGUUAGACUCAAACUCUCUACAUAACUCAAACUAGGUGGAAGCAAUCCUGCAAUCAAAUGAAUGUUUGCUGUAAAUUAUGGGCAUGCCCCUCAAACACUGAAAUAACGCAUCCUUCAAAGAAGAUUUUCUCAACUAAAGUUUUGUUUCCAAUCAACUUUGUUUAGCCUCACAUUCAUUCUAGAUUUUGUUUGUUUACUAAAAGGUGGAAUUCAGAAGUAUUUGCUUGCUUGUGUAUUUCUUUUUGAGAUGGGAUGGUUGAUGUGCUUUAAAGAUCUUUGGAUCAGAAAGGACAAGAUAUGGGAGGAAAACUUAAAAGCCAUAUUACAUGGUAAAGACGGAGUCGGGAUGGCAGAGAUUAACAAAAUUCUCUCUCCCCAAUUCAAUGAUCCAAGUCUAAAAAAUAAGGAAACGGAAAGUCAGAAAGAUAACAGGCAUGGCAACAGGUGAGAAAAAAGUUGAUAAGCUCUGACCGUUGACCAUUUUUUGGUAACAUCCUUUUAUUCUUCUAUACCUCUUCAAAAACCUCGUGCUUUUCAUAUUUUGAUCUUGCAUGUUAGUUUGUUCAAUAUCAAUGUCGCUGCGGCAAAAGUGCGGCUUUUCGUUCUUCUUGACAUCUAUAUUUCAAGUGCGUUUGAAGGUUGUUCUGACCUGAAAAUUAAGCGCACUUUUGCUGAAUCAUUAAAAAUAGAUUAUCGUUCCUUUACUUUUACUUUAUGGCAUCUACUGAUCUGACUUGAAAUUUAGCAUUUGCACUCGUGAUAUCCAUAAUCUAUCUGGAUUCUCUCUGGUGUCUUUUAGGCCAUUUACAUAUCUACUUAUUUUUCUUUUAAUUGGACAAUGUAGGUUUAUUUUUAAUGCAACUUUUCUUAGAAAAAAAAAAAAAGUGGAAUGAAGAACCCAUUAAGACUGGGCGGUCUAAAUUUAACCCGAGAUACUACUACAGAGAAUCCAGGCCCCGUGUUUCAUUAUAUUUCUAUGGUCCCACUGUUCUAAAGCUUCUGCUUUUAGGUUCUUUUCUUUUCCCUCUGAAAUGACUUUUGAGGGUAUUGAAUUAAAUUUUUUGGUAUGGACAAGUGUUAAAUAUAUACACAGAAAGUUCUCUAGGCGAUGUUUGGCUUAGGAUUUAAUACGUCUUGGGUUAAGAAAUUUGGAUUUGUAUAACAUAUGUUUGGGUUGUAAGAAGGAGUAAGUUAUAGAAACUUGGAUUCGUGUCACACGUGUUUGGUUCAUGAGUUUCUAAUUUGGAAAGAGAUUUUAGAGACUUCUUAGUUGGAAAUCACUCAUCUUUUGUGACAAUGUAGAUGGGAAUUUUUUAAUAUUGGUUAUCACUAAAUAAGGUGAAAGCUGUUCUAAACUGCCCUCAACCUAGAACAAAUGACUUUAUUUUGAUCUAUUGAAAAGAGAAGAAACAGAUAUAGGAUGUAUCAACUAACAACAACCAAUUGUUGUAUAGGGAUUUGCUUGGAGAAAUUUUUACCGCAAAAGCACAGUUGCUAGCAAUUAUUUUAAAAGCUAGAUAGAUAAAUGAACAACUCCACUUCUUUGUUCUUUCAAAUACUAGGAGAUUAGGCUGUCCUGAAUAAUUAAUUCUCUCACAUCUUUGUUACACGAGUAGGCUCAUUCAAGCUUGAAUGAAUAAUCCCAAAUGUUGAGCACUUUAAAGUUAAACUCUUUCAAGGUCCAGUAUAGUUUUUUCAUCUGGAGUUAUUGUUGAAAUUGAAACUUAAUCUACAGUAUAUUGUAGGCAUCAAUUUGGAGGAAACUUUCUCUUAUCAAUUCCUUGUUCCAACAUUCCCGAUCCAUCGUAAAAAAAAUGUUACAUUACUCUCCCUUUAAGUUUCCUGAACCUUGAUGGAUUCUUAAGAGUCAUCUGCUGUAUUUGUGUCAGCAUGUCGUUGCGAAUCCUUUCUAGAACACUCUCCAAACUUGCUCCUUGAUAAAAUUAAAUACUUAGGAUUCAUUUCAUCAUGUGAUUUGGGAUGGGAGCCUUAGGUAUUACCCACUUUGACUUCGUGGAAGAGCUAACAACAUAACUGAUUGAAUACAUCUCAUAGCCAAGUCAAUUCAAUCAGAACACGAAUUCAUUUCGAUCAUGAUGCUCUAUCUCAACACAUUCCAUUAUGAUCGGUACAACUUGAUAGCAAUUACUAUUUAUGUCAGACUGUUUGUUGUUUUCAACUUUUUUUUUUUUUUUUGGUUAUGUUGAAUAAUUAAAUAUUUUCCUCCGUAAGAAAAAUGGAAAAUUACUUUUGGGCUUUUAUCCCAAGCUCCUAAUGGACACGGUGCCAAUUUUCUCCAGUGGAACAAACGCGGUCCACCCUAAGCAAGAAAGGAUUUCUUCAAGGGUAUUUCCAUUUUCAAAUAUAUCGUGAAUAUAACAAUACUCGGAUGUCAAAUAUAAGGGGAAAUGAAGGAUGAGCUUGCCCAAGUCCACCCUAAACCUUAAACCCAAAGGCCAACGAUACAGUAUUUCAUGUACUUGAGUCAUGCUCAUGCUUACUAUUAAUGUUUGAAUUCAUACAUUAAUAGAGUGAUAUUACAAUUGUGAGAGGUUGAUUGAAAACAACGAACUACAUAAGGGGACAAAACUAAGGAAUUUAUCCAUUUGAAUUUUAACUGUGCUCCCGUGUUCAUAAAAUAUAAAAUUGAGACGAGGACGAGGAAGACAUCUUGGGUUUUUGACCCUGGGCUGCCCAAUUCCUCCUUAUGUGCAUAAACGCCCAAAAGUCUAAUCCAACCAACGAACUCCUUUAUUAGUAUUGAGUUCCAUUGCUGGUAGAUAUAAUGAAAUGUUAAUUAAAAUAAUGAUGUGAAAAACUGCUCAUAUUCAACAAAUAUCAACAAAUUGGAAUAAUACACAAUUCUUCCUUAUUGGUUCUCUUAACCAUAGUUUGUUUGUUAGUAUAUUUGUUGCACUACACUUACUAUUUUGACCUUUGUUUGUUUGUUAUGAGUCAAUAUCUUGUAUUUAAAUUAUGAAGAGUGAAAUAAGAAAAAAUAACUCACUCCCAUUUACCCAACACCCUGAUCCUAUAUUCAAAUUCUUGAGAUAUUAUUUUCUACAUGUUUUAAAUAUAAAAGUGAAGAGUGUUGAAUUUAAUUAAUAUUAAAUUUAUCUUCACGUAUCAAUCUUAAGCUUUUAGGUCAAUUCAUGAUUUAACACAUCAGACAACUUGUGUGCUAACAAUUUCUAGUGUUGCAUAUUUGCGUCUAAACAUGAUUGUUGAAAUCGCUGUCAAUGAUGGUUGACGAUCGAGAAAGCAGCCACCAGUAAAGCUAGAAAGCAAAGGAAGAACAAGAUUUAUAUCAUGCAACUAGGAAAAUUUUAUAGAUACAACUUGUGAUUUUACCGGUACUUUUAAAUUUUCAAUUGUACCCCACCUUCUCUUAAAAAAAAAGUCACAAGGGUAAAUAAUGAAUAGCUUUAUCUUCAAAAGAAAAAAAAAGAUUAUUUAUUAAAAUAAAAAUAAGUUGAUUUUGAUUAAA